Heterocephalus glaber (naked mole-rat) is the source of this 787-nucleotide non-coding RNA. Lineage: Eukaryota; Metazoa; Chordata; Mammalia; Rodentia; Bathyergidae. The record is from RefSeq and is a predicted model, not a curated record.
UCAUCCGGGCCCGUGCUAGAGUUCCUGGUGAUUACUGCGCAUGCGCCGGAGGACGGCGGAGUUUUGUGAGCGGCGUUAUCGUUAGAGUACGAAGAUUGGGACUUUUAAUUGCGGUGAAGAGGACCUGUCGGCCGGAGCAGGAGGGGAGCCGGGUCCUGCCCGUGGGUUUGCGGGUCCGACCGAGGCCGCUCUCAGGCACCUGUUUUCCUCUCCGUCCCGGAAUGGAGCCAAGACAAGAGAAUAAAGGAAAUUAAAUAGUACACGGAGAUCGGGUGUCUGGGCAGCGUCUUGGAUAAAAAUCAUCCCUGACAGAAAUGUAAAUCAUGUCACCAUCAUCAGUGAGCACCAUAACAAAGCCAUCCAGGGCCUUCAAAUAAAAGCAGUUCAUCUGUGCUUUCAUUUCAUCUUCAAAAUCCAGAUCACCUAAAAAGGCACAAGAGGAGGAAGGCCUAUUAGACUCAUAUAAAACAACUUACCAGCAUCCAGAAGUUUUCUCACACGCAAAUAACUGAUGGUAAGCCUCAUAACAGAAGCCUUAUCAAGAUGUGAGCUCACAUUAUGGGGAAGUGGCAACUGAUGAGCAAGCUCAUAAAAUACUUCAGACUCUUUGCUUCGCCGAGAUCUGGCUGCGUCUCUAGACUUUUCUUUUCGACGCUCAGAACUUAUCCUACUUAACGAGAAGAAAAAAAAAAAAAGAAAGAAAAAAGAGGCCGAAAAGGGACCAAAACAUGUAUGUUAGUUUGUUGAAUAAAACUAAAUUUACAUUUUUCUGCUUACCACACAAUUA